AUAAGGCCAAAAGCUCAAUUUACUGUGCCUUUUUGUACUAGGAUCAGUUACGAAAGUAAGGCCUAACGAUCCCUAAAUAGCCUCAGGUGCGUGAGGAUUGGGGUGACAGACAAGUUACCUCCGGGACAACUGGCUUGUGGCUGCUAAGAGAUCAAAUCAACGCAGCUUUUUGAUUCUUCGAUGUCGGCUCUUCCUAUCCUAGUGAUGUACAAGUUGCUAAGGGUCGGAUUGUUCACCCGUAUUAGGGAUCGUGAGCUGGGUUUAGACCGUCGUGAGCCAGGUUUGUUUUAUCCUACUGGAUAUAGCAUCAUGAUAGUAGAUUGAUUUAGUACGAGAGGAACUGUUGAUUAUGGCCUCUGGUUAGCGAUUAUCGGAAACGGUAUGUCGCGCAGCUACGCCGUCUGGGAUAAUGGCUGAAAGCCUCUUAAGCCAGAAGCCCAUCUAGAAAGUGAUGCACGUGAUGUUGGACCGAUACGAAUAAUCAUACUCAAAAGGUCCGCUUCAUAGGUAACCCAAUGUAGAAGACAUUGUUUGAACGAAGGUACUGUAAGCAGUGGAGUGGCAUUACGUCCACGACCUGUUGAGGUUCAGCUUCGCUUCUAGGUUUCC
This 609-nucleotide non-coding RNA is filed under the name Trichomonas vaginalis G3. Its description in RNAcentral is "Eukaryotic large subunit ribosomal RNA". It matches the Rfam family "Eukaryotic large subunit ribosomal RNA", at positions 2703 to 3401 of the family's 3401-position model. Lineage: Eukaryota; Parabasalia; Trichomonadida; Trichomonadidae. The record is from Rfam by way of RNAcentral.